RNAcentral lists this ribosomal RNA (464 nucleotides) under uncultured bacterium. Its description in RNAcentral is "partial 16S ribosomal RNA". It matches the Rfam family "Bacterial small subunit ribosomal RNA", at positions 339 to 795 of the family's 1533-position model. The record is from RNAcentral.
CUACGGGACGCUGCAGUGGGGAAUAUUGCACAAUGGGCGCAAGCCUGAUGCAGCCAUGCCGCGUGUAUGAAGAAGGCCUUCGGGUUGUAAAGUACUUUCAGCGGGGAGGAAGGGAGUAAAGUUAAUACCUUUGCUCAUUGACGUUACCCGCAGAAGAAGCACCGGCUAACUCCGUGCCAGCAGCCGCGGUAAUACGGAGGGUGCAAGCGUUGAUCGGAAUUACUGGGCGUAAAGCGCACGCAGGCGGUUUGUUAAGUCAGAUGUGAAAUCCCCGGGCUCAACCUGGGAACUGCAUCUGAUACUGGCAAGCUUGAGUCUCGUAGAGGGGGGUAGAAUUCCAGGUGUAGCGGUGAAAUGCGUAGAGAUCUGGAGGAAUACCGGUGGCGAAGGCGGCCCCCUGGGCGAAGACUGACGCUCAGGUGCGAAAGCGUGGGGAGCAAACAGGAUUAGAUACCCGAGUAGUC